Long non-coding RNA from Stegastes partitus (bicolor damselfish), 547 nucleotides. RefSeq lists it as uncharacterized. Lineage: Eukaryota; Metazoa; Chordata; Actinopteri; Pomacentridae. The transcript has 3 exons. The record is from RefSeq and is a predicted model, not a curated record.
GCUCAUGUGAACUCUCCUUCUCUUCAGAUACUCCAACCUGAUCCUGAAUCUGUUCUCUCUCAUGGUGGAUGCCAAUAUUCCUGACAUUGCUCUUGAGCCUGACAAGACUGUAAAAAAGGUGCAGGACAAGUUCAGAUUGGACCUGUCGGACGAGGAGGCGGUCCACUACAUGCAGAGUCUCAUCGAUGAGAGUGUGGGAGCUUUGUUUGCUGCUGUGGUUGAGCAGAUACACAAAUUUGCACAGUACUGGCGCAGAUGAGCAGAACAGACAGACGGCUUAGAUGAUGCUGAAGUUCUGCGGCAGAAACGCGUGAUGGUACGGCUCUGACCCGACCGAUGCUGUCUAUGUGUGAGUGUGUGAGAAGAUGAAAGAAAGAAACCCAGUGACACUGUUAAAAAGGCCAAGAAUGCACUGCCAACCUUUACUGCAAGACAGUUCAACAAGGACAUGCACAUCUUUGUUUGCUUAUGUAUAUAACAUGUAUAUUAAUUAUUGAAUGAAUGAAUGAAAUGUAAGGCCAAAUAAAAGACUGUUGUUACAACUAAA